Molecule: ribosomal RNA, 180 nt
Filed under: uncultured Glomeromycotina
Lineage: Eukaryota; Fungi; Glomeromycota
Description: partial small subunit ribosomal RNA
Source: RNAcentral
GAUCUGGUUGGGUGGUCCGCUUAACAGCGUGUACUGUCUGAUUGGGUCUUACCUCUUGGUGAGCCAGUGUGCCCUUCAUUGGUGUGCGCUGGUGAACCAGGACUUUUACCUUGAGAAAAUUAGAGUGUUCAAAGCAGGCAAUCGAGCCUUGAAUACUUCAGCAUGGGAUAAUGGAACAGG